RNAcentral lists this ribosomal RNA (325 nucleotides) under uncultured bacterium. Its description in RNAcentral is "bacterial SSU rRNA". It matches the Rfam family "Bacterial small subunit ribosomal RNA", at positions 28 to 334 of the family's 1533-position model. The record is from RNAcentral.
GACGAACGCUGGCGGCGUGCCUAACACAUGCAAGUCGAACGAGAAUCUAUCGAAUGAUUCCUUCGGGAUGAAUUUGAUAGAGGAAAGUGGCGGACGGGCGAGUAACGCGUGAAUAACCUGCCCAUAAGAGGGGGAUAAUCCAUGGAAACGUGGACUAAUACCGCAUAUUGAGAUUUAACCGCAUGAUUUUAUCUUGAAAGAUUUAUCGCUUAUGGAUGGAUUCGCGUCUGAUUAGCUAGUUGGUGAGGUAACGGCUCACCAAGGCGACGAUCAGUAGCCGAACUGAGAGGUUGAUCGGCCGCAUUGGGACUGAGAUACGGCCCUU